This 1554-nucleotide ribosomal RNA is filed under the name Klebsiella pneumoniae subsp. pneumoniae. Its description in RNAcentral is "bacterial SSU rRNA". It matches the Rfam family "Bacterial small subunit ribosomal RNA". The record is from RNAcentral. Lineage: Bacteria; Pseudomonadati; Pseudomonadota; Gammaproteobacteria; Enterobacterales; Enterobacteriaceae.
ACUUAAAUUGAAGAGUUUGAUCAUGGCUCAGAUUGAACGCUGGCGGCAGGCCUAACACAUGCAAGUCGAGCGGUAGCACAGAGAGCUUGCUCUCGGGUGACGAGCGGCGGACGGGUGAGUAAUGUCUGGGAAACUGCCUGAUGGAGGGGGAUAACUACUGGAAACGGUAGCUAAUACCGCAUAACGUCGCAAGACCAAAGUGGGGGACCUUCGGGCCUCAUGCCAUCAGAUGUGCCCAGAUGGGAUUAGCUAGUAGGUGGGGUAACGGCUCACCUAGGCGACGAUCCCUAGCUGGUCUGAGAGGAUGACCAGCCACACUGGAACUGAGACACGGUCCAGACUCCUACGGGAGGCAGCAGUGGGGAAUAUUGCACAAUGGGCGCAAGCCUGAUGCAGCCAUGCCGCGUGUGUGAAGAAGGCCUUCGGGUUGUAAAGCACUUUCAGCGGGGAGGAAGGCGAUAAGGUUAAUAACCUUGUCGAUUGACGUUACCCGCAGAAGAAGCACCGGCUAACUCCGUGCCAGCAGCCGCGGUAAUACGGAGGGUGCAAGCGUUAAUCGGAAUUACUGGGCGUAAAGCGCACGCAGGCGGUCUGUCAAGUCGGAUGUGAAAUCCCCGGGCUUAACCUGGGAACUGCAUUCGAAACUGGCAGGCUAGAGUCUUGUAGAGGGGGGUAGAAUUCCAGGUGUAGCGGUGAAAUGCGUAGAGAUCUGGAGGAAUACCGGUGGCGAAGGCGGCCCCCUGGACAAAGACUGACGCUCAGGUGCGAAAGCGUGGGGAGCAAACAGGAUUAGAUACCCUGGUAGUCCACGCCGUAAACGAUGUCGAUUUGGAGGUUGUGCCCUUGAGGCGUGGCUUCCGGAGCUAACGCGUUAAAUCGACCGCCUGGGGAGUACGGCCGCAAGGUUAAAACUCAAAUGAAUUGACGGGGGCCCGCACAAGCGGUGGAGCAUGUGGUUUAAUUCGAUGCAACGCGAAGAACCUUACCUGGUCUUGACAUCCACAGAACUUUCCAGAGAUGGAUUGGUGCCUUCGGGAACUGUGAGACAGGUGCUGCAUGGCUGUCGUCAGCUCGUGUUGUGAAAUGUUGGGUUAAGUCCCGCAACGAGCGCAACCCUUAUCCUUUGUUGCCAGCGGUUCGGCCGGGAACUCAAAGGAGACUGCCAGUGAUAAACUGGAGGAAGGUGGGGAUGACGUCAAGUCAUCAUGGCCCUUACGACCAGGGCUACACACGUGCUACAAUGGCAUAUACAAAGAGAAGCGACCUCGCGAGAGCAAGCGGACCUCAUAAAGUAUGUCGUAGUCCGGAUUGGAGUCUGCAACUCGACUCCAUGAAGUCGGAAUCGCUAGUAAUCGUAGAUCAGAAUGCUACGGUGAAUACGUUCCCGGGCCUUGUACACACCGCCCGUCACACCAUUGGAGUGGGUUGCAAAAGAAGUAGGUAGCUUAACCUUCGGGAGGGCGCUUACCACUUUGUGAUUCAUGACUGGGGUGAAGUCGUAACAAGGUAACCGUAGGGGAACCUGCGGUUGGAUCACCUCCUUACCUUAAAGAA